This 484-nucleotide ribosomal RNA is filed under the name uncultured bacterium. Its description in RNAcentral is "partial 16S ribosomal RNA". It matches the Rfam family "Bacterial small subunit ribosomal RNA", at positions 30 to 507 of the family's 1533-position model. The record is from RNAcentral.
AUUGAACGCUGGCGGCAGGCCUAACACAUGCAAGUCGAGCGGAUGAAGGGAGCUUGCUCCUGGAUUCAGCGGCGGACGGGUGAGUAAUGCCUAGGAAUCUGCCUGGUAGUGGGGGAUAACGUCCGGAAACGGGCGCUAAUACCGCAUACGUCCUGAGGGAGAAAGUGGGGGAUCUUCGGACCUCACGCUAUCAGAUGAGCCUAGGUCGGAUUAGCUAGUUGGUGGGGUAAAGGCCUACCAAGGCGACGAUCCGUAACUGGUCUGGGAGGCUGAUCAGUCACCCUGGAGCUUAGACACCGUCCUGACUCCUACGGUAGGCAGCAGUGUGGAAUAUUGGACAGUGGGCGAAAGCCUGAUCCAGCCAUGCCGCGUGUGUUAAGAAGGUCUUCGGAUUGUAAAGCACUUUUAGUUGUUAGGAAGGGCAGUAAGUUAAUACCUUGCUGUUUUGACGUUACCAACAGAAUAAGCACCGGCUAACUUCGUG